This 345-nucleotide unclassified non-coding RNA is filed under the name soil metagenome. RNAcentral describes it as "partial contains 5.8S ribosomal RNA, internal transcribed spacer 2, and large subunit ribosomal RNA". The stretch from base 1 to 120 matches the Rfam family "5.8S ribosomal RNA", at positions 35 to 154 of the family's 154-position model. The record is from RNAcentral.
GAUGAAGAACGUAGCGAAAUGCGAUAAGUAAUGUGAAUUGCAGAAUUCAGUGAAUCAUCGAAUCUUUGAACGCACAUUGCGCCCCCUGGUAUUCCGGGGGGCAUGCCUGUCCGAGCGUCAUUGCUGCCCUCAAGCACGGCUUGUGUGUUGGGCCUCCGUCCUCCUCCCGGGGGACGGGCCCGAAAGGCAGCGGCGGCACCGCGUCCGGUCCUCGAGCGUAUGGGGCUUCGUCACCCGCUCUUGUAGGCCCGGCCGGCGCUUGCCGACACAUCAAUCUUUUUUCCAGGUUGACCUCGGAUCAGGUAGGGAUACCUGCUGAACUUAAGCAUAUCAAUAAGCGGAGGA